AGAGAAGAAGUUUAUAAUAAUAUUUGACCUGCAAUCAAAAGAAGGUAGUUGAUAUUACCCUUCUCUA
Molecule: transfer RNA, 67 nt
Filed under: Glyptelasma annandalei
Lineage: Eukaryota; Metazoa; Arthropoda; Thecostraca; Poecilasmatidae
Description: tRNA-Ala
Source: RNAcentral